AUUGAACGCUGGCGGCAGGCCUAACACAUGCAAGUCGAGCGGAAACGAAGGGAGCUUGCUCCCAGGCGUCGAGCGGCGGACGGGUGAGUAACACGUGAGAAUCUGCCCAUUAGUGGGAGACAACUCGGGGAAACUCGAGCUAAUACCGCAUAAUCCCUACGGGGGAAAGCAGGGGACCUUUUGGCCUUGCGCUGAUGGAUGAGCCCACGUCGGAUUAGCUUGUUGGUGAGGUAAGGGCUCACCAAGGCGACGAGCCGUAGCUGGUCUGAGAGGAUGAUCAGCCACACUGGGACUGAGACACGGCCCAGACUCCUACGGGAGGCAGCAGUGGGGAAUCUUGGACAAUGGGGGGCAACCCUGAUCCAGCCAUGCCGCGUGUGUGAAGAAGGCCUUCGGGUUGUAAAGCACUUUCAGCAGGGAGGAAGGCUUUGGCCGAAUAGGUUGAAGUACUUGACGUUACCUGCAGAAGAAGCACCGGCUAAUUUCGUGCCAGCCGCCGCUGUAA
Molecule: ribosomal RNA, 505 nt
Filed under: uncultured bacterium
Lineage: Bacteria
Description: partial 16S ribosomal RNA
Rfam family: Bacterial small subunit ribosomal RNA
Source: RNAcentral